RNAcentral lists this ribosomal RNA (445 nucleotides) under uncultured Rhodospirillaceae bacterium. RNAcentral's name for it is "bacterial SSU rRNA". It matches the Rfam family "Bacterial small subunit ribosomal RNA", at positions 335 to 797 of the family's 1533-position model. The record is from RNAcentral. Lineage: Bacteria; Pseudomonadati; Pseudomonadota; Alphaproteobacteria; Rhodospirillales; Rhodospirillaceae.
UGUCCUACGGGAGGCUGCAGUGGGGAAUAUUGGACAAUGGGCGCAAGCCUGAUCCAGCCAUGCCGCGUGGGUGAUGAAGGCCUUCGGGUUGUAAAGCCCUUUUGGCGGGGACGAUGAUGACGGUACCCGCAGAAUAAGCCCCGGCUAACUUCGUGCCAGCAGCCGCGGUAAGACGAAGGGGGCAAGCGUUGUUCGGAAUUACUGGGCGUAAAGGGCGCGUAGGCGGCCCGAUAAGUCAGCCGUGAAAGGCCUGGGGUCAACCUGGGAAUUGCGGUUGGGACUGUUGGGCUGGAGAGCGGGAGAGGAUGGUGGAAUUCCCAGUGUAGAGGUGAAAUUCGUAGAUAUUGGGAAGAACACCGGUGGCGAAGGCGGCCAUCUGGACCGUAUCUGACGCUGAGGCGCGAAAGCGUGGGGAGCAAACAGGAUUAGAUACCCUAGUAGUCCA